AUGGUAGGAUAGAGGCCUACCAUGGUGGUAACGGGUAACGGGGUGUCAGGGCACGACACCGGAGAGGGAGCCUGAGAAACGGCUACCACAUCCAAGGAAGGCAGCAGGCGCGCAAAUUACCCAAUCCCGACACGGGGAGGUAGUGACAAUAAAUAACAAUACAGGGUUCUUUGAAUCUUGUAAUUGGAAUGAGUACAAUUUAAAUCUCUUAACGAGGAACAAUUGGAGGGCAAGUCUGGUGCCAGCAGCCGCGGUAAUUCCAGCUCCAAUAGCGUAUAUUAAAGUUGUUGCAGUUAAAAAGCUCGUAGUUGAAUUUCGGGAUCAAUACGUCGGUCGUGCUUUCGGGUACGUACUGGCGUCAUUGGUUUCUCCUUUCUGACGAACCAUGAUGUCAUUAAUUUGGUGUUAUGGGGAGUUAGGACUGUUACUUUGAAAAAAUUAGAGUGUUUAAAGCAGGCAUUAGCUUGAAUACAUUAGCAUGGAAUAAUGAAAUAGGACGUUCGAUCCUAUUUUGUUGGUUUCUAGGAUCAACGUAAUGAUUAAUAGGGAUAGUUGGGGGCAUUAGUAUUCAAUUGUCAGAGGUGAAAUUCUUGGAUUUAUUGAAGACUAACUACUGCGAAAGCAUUUGCCAAGGAUGUUUUCAUUAAUCAAGAACGAAAGUUAGGGGAUCGAAGACGAUCAGAUACCGUCGUAGUCUUAACCAUAAACUAUGCCGACUAGGGAUCGGAUGAUGUUAAUUUUUUAAUGACUCAUUCGGCGCCUUACGGGAAACCAAAGUGUUUGGG
RNAcentral lists this ribosomal RNA (785 nucleotides) under uncultured Glomus. RNAcentral describes it as "SSU rRNA". It matches the Rfam family "Eukaryotic small subunit ribosomal RNA", at positions 325 to 1111 of the family's 1831-position model. The record is from RNAcentral. Lineage: Eukaryota; Fungi; Glomeromycota; Glomeromycetes; Glomerales; Glomeraceae.